Molecule: ribosomal RNA, 1743 nt
Filed under: human gut metagenome
Description: bacterial LSU rRNA
Rfam family: Bacterial large subunit ribosomal RNA
Source: RNAcentral
GUUGGCUCAGAAGCAGCCACUCAUUCAAAGAGUGCGUAAUAGCUCACUGGUCGAGUGAUUUUGCGCCGAAAAUUUAACGGGGCUAAACUGUACACCGAAGCUUGGGAAUAUACAUUUGUAUGUUGGUAGGAGAGCGUUGUGUAAGGGGUGAAGUCGUAGCGAAAGCGGCGGUGGACUUUACACAAGUGAGAAUGCCGGAAUGAGUAGCGAGAAUUAUGUGAGAAUCAUAAUGGCCGAAAGACUAAGGUUUUAGAAGGAAGGUUCGUCCGCUUCUAGUUAGCCGGGAGCUAAGGCGAGGCCGAGAGGCGUAGUCGAUGCACAUACGGUUGAGAUUCCGUAGCUACCUUGCAUUUAAGCGAAGGGACACAUUUGAAGGGCAUGACCCGGGCGUUGGUUGACCCGGGCGUAAGGGACCGAAAAUAAGUAGGGAAGCAUGCUUGGAUGGUGGCGAGAAAAGCUUCGUGUAUAUAAGCAGGGUACCCGUACUGCAAACCGACACAGGUAGUCAGGAAGAGGAUUCUAAGGCCAUCGGGAGAAGCGUUGUUAAGGAACUCGGCAAAUUGACCCCGUAACUUCGGAAUAAGGGGUGCUCACGCGAGUGAGCCGCAGUGAAUAGGUCCAGGCAACUGUUUAUCAAAAACACAGCUCUCUGCUAAAUCGUAAGAUGACGUAUAGGGGGUGACACCUGCCCGGUGCUGGAAGGUUAAGAGGAGGGGUGCAAGCUCCGAAUUGAAGCCCCAGUAAACGGCGGCCGUAACUAUAACGGUCCUAAGGUAGCGAAAUUCCUUGUCGGGUAAGUUCCGACCCGCACGAAUGGUGUAAUGAUCUGGGCACUGUCUCAACUACCCGCCCGGCGAAAUUGUAGUACCGGUGAAGAUGCCGGUUACCCGCGACAAGACGGAAAGACCCCAUGGAGCUUUACUGUAGCCUAAUAUUGGGUUUCGAUGUUGCAUGCACAGGAUAGAUGGGACACAGGGAAACAAUCGCUUUGGCGGUUGCGGAGUGGCCGUUGGGAUACCAUCCUUGCGAUAUUGGAAUUCUAACCUGCGGCUCUGAAUCGAGUCGGGGGACAUUGUUAGGUGGGCAGUUUGACUGGGGCGGUCGCCUCCUAAAAAGUAACGGAGGCGUUCAAAGGUUCGCUCAGCUUGAACGGAAAUCAAGCAAAAGAGUGCAAACGCAGAAGCGAGCCUAACUGCGAGACUGACGGGUCGAGCAGUAACGAAAGUUGGAGUUAGUGAUCCGGCGGUAUGUGAGUGGAAAUGCCGUCGCUCAACGGAUAAAAGCUACCCUGGGGAUAACAGGCUGAUCUCCCCCAAGAGUCCACAUCGACGGGGAGGUUUGGCACCUCGAUGUCGGCUCAUCGCAUCCUGGGGCUGUAUUCGGUCCCAAGGGUUUGGCUGUUCGCCAAUUAAAGCGGUACGCGAGCUGGGUUCAGAACGUCGUGAGACAGUUCGGUCCCUAUCUGUCGUGGGCGUAGGAUAUUUGAAGGGCGCUGUUCCUAGUACGAGAGGACCGGAAUGGACGCACCGCUGGUGUAUCGGUUGUCAUGCCAAUGGCACGGCCGAGCAGCUAUGUGCGGAUGGGAUAAACGCUGAAAGCAUCUAAGCGUGAAGCCCUCCCUAAGAUAAGAUAUCCCACUGUUUACAGUUAAGACCCCUUAUGGACUAUGAGGUUGAUAGGCUGCGUGUGUAAGUAUGGUGACAUAUUUAGCUAGGCAGUACUAAUAGGUCGAGGGCUUGACCU